GUCCACGCCCUAAACGAUGUCUACUAGUUGUUGGGGGUUAACCUUAGUAACACAGCUAACGCGAGAAGUAGACCGCCUGGGGAGUACGGUCGCAAGAUUAAAACUCAAAGGAAUUGACGGGGACCCGCACAAGCGGUGGAUGAUGUGGAUUAAUUCGAUGCAACGCGAAAAACCUUACCUAGCCUUGACAUGCCAAGAAUCCUGAUGAAAGUUGGGAGUGCCCGCAAGGGAAUUUGGACACAGGUGCUGCAUGGCUGUCGU
RNAcentral lists this ribosomal RNA (261 nucleotides) under uncultured bacterium. Its description in RNAcentral is "partial 16S ribosomal RNA". It matches the Rfam family "Bacterial small subunit ribosomal RNA", at positions 793 to 1055 of the family's 1533-position model. The record is from RNAcentral.